Molecule: RNA transcript, 2215 nt
Organism: Eriocheir sinensis (Chinese mitten crab)
Lineage: Eukaryota; Metazoa; Arthropoda; Malacostraca; Decapoda; Varunidae
Gene name: integumentary mucin C.1-like
Exons: 6
Source: RefSeq, a predicted model, not a curated record
CAAGUCUAUCAGGGCGGUGCAGACGACAACAACAAACCCGCGGCAGGGAGGGAGCGUGCGACCCCUGCCCCGAGAUUAAUAGAUGAUUAAACCUGUUUGUAGAAGACUCCAGUGCAACACAGCAUCACUGGAGUGGAUGUGUCCGUCAUGCAUCGCCUCAACACAGCGCUGGUGAUUAUCGCUGCCAGCCUCAUCACCACACCCCUCACCACACACACCCUGCCCCAGCGCGAUGCCUCCCCUACGCUCACCGCAUCAUCACCGCCACCCACGGAGAAGUCAGACGUGCAGGAGACAACACCACUACCCACGACACCCACGCUCAUACCUGAUACCUCCCCCACUAACACCACGAUGCCCCCCACCACUGCCAUCACCACCACACCACCAGACACGGCUACACCUACCACUACCACCACCACUACGACAGUACCACCCACUACCACAAACACAACAACCAUUACUACCACCACUACCACACCACCACCAACAACAACAACCAAUAGCACUAGUAUAAAGCCCACUGUCACUACUACUACCACAACGCAACCACCUAACACCACGACUACCAUCUCCACCACUGCACCACCUAACACAACCAGCACCACCACCACCACAUCCUUAUUACCGGAGUCAACCACCACCUCGCCACCAUCGCCCGGACCCACAGACAACUCCUCCACCACUGACGUCACCACCACAGAGGCGCCAUCGGAGGGCCCCCACCGUGGCGCCUCCAUAGCCAUCAGCCUUUUUGCCAUAGUGACGAUGGUCCUAAUUAUUGGAGCGGGUGCAUGGUGGCUGCGGCGACGGUGGCAGCUGGAGCGCCUCAGACACCAGCUGAUGCCUGUGUAUAAUUUUGACCCCACCGACGAUGUGGACGACUGGGAGAACCAAUUACUGGAGGAAGAGAGAUCGCUGAGGCCUGAGGCAGACAAGGUCCACCUGUACUCUGGUAAUGCCACCUUUGAGGCCGGCCAGAAGCCCCCCAGCAGUGCCACUCCCAAGGAAUGACACUGUUGAGUCCUGAGCCGCCACCCACUCUUUGCUGUGUGAGUGACCUUUGUACAUACUAGUGCUGCUGCCUGUGCUGGUGCUGGGGGGCAGGAACCACGCAGCAGGGCGAGGUGCCGACGCCCUCCUAGUGCCAGCCUGAUUCUCACACACCCGGCCGGCACACCCACACACAGAGGGCGAGGGGGGGGGUAUCCUGGCACCACAGCCCCGCCGCCGCCGCCCGGAGGCCUCAGCACUGACACGUUGCCUUGUGAUUGGUGAUUGGUCCCUGCGAGGCUGCCGGUGGUUGUGUCCCGUGCAGCCUCUUUGUAAUAGCUCAUAAUGUGUUGUGUCCAGCCCUGGCGGGUCCCCUGUAGCCUCCACUGGCCCUCCCUGACACUGGCGGAGGCAUGAUUGUUCUACUUGUUUGCUUAGAUUCUGUGGGUCUGUAUUUAUUUGUUAUUUUUUACGUUAUUCUUCUACAGCUGUCCCUCAAAUAGUACGGUUUCCAAUAGUCCAUUUCGGUUUUAUACGGCUUGUCGUAGAAGAUCUUUUAGGGUUUUUAAAUUUCCUGUGCGUCGGGAAAUUUAAAAAUCCUAAAAAAUCUUCUUAGAAAAUCCACAUAAAACCAAAACUGAACUAUUGGAAACCGUACUAUUUCAGGGACAACUGUAUUUGGGCUGAGUCAAGUCUGUUUCAUUGAUUUCCUUAUACUCUAGGCACUUUAUUUAUUGUUUCUAUUUCUACUGUUAUUUAUACUAUUAUUAACUAUUUUUUUGCCUUAAGAAAGCAGCUCAAAGGCAUAGGCAUACAUAAUUCCUCCAGCCACUGUGUUGGGGCGGGGACAGGAGGAGGCUGUGGCGAGACCCGAGGGGCAGCUGUGAACGUGAUGAUUAGUCCGAGUAUCUGUUUACGUAUACCCUGUGGAGGAGGCAAUGGUCGUUCUGUCUGUGUUAAGAGGAGUGUUGGUUACUUGGCAUCACUGUGUUAGGGUUCCUUUGCCAGUUUGCUCACUCAUGUUCCCAGUUAGUUCUCAUGUCAGGAAAGAAAGGAGAAAAGAAAAUUAUGUGUAUUGCAUGUCAAGAAAAGAAACAGAAAGGACUACAUGUUUCCAGUUAGUUCUCAUGUCAGGAAAGAAAGGAGAAAAGAGAGUUAUGUGUAUUGCAUGUCAAGAAAAGAAACAGAAAGGAGUACAUGUUUCCAGUUAGUUCUCAUGUCA